This is a long non-coding RNA of Arabidopsis lyrata subsp. lyrata, 685 nucleotides long. RefSeq lists it as uncharacterized. The transcript has 2 exons. The record is from RefSeq and is a predicted model, not a curated record. NCBI's taxonomy places the organism in Eukaryota, Viridiplantae, Streptophyta, Magnoliopsida, Brassicales, Brassicaceae.
UUAUCCUCUAAGUCGUCUCUUUCAUCUUCUUCUUCUUCAAUAGAAGCCCUACCUAGAACCAAAAGGCAACAAAAAUCUUCUACCAACACGAGCCACUUCCUUCGCGAGAAACCCUUGCCGCAGAAGUCACCGGUAAAGUCUCAUAUCUCGAUGGGAUUCGACCAACCCACACCGCAGCCACCUUCUUGAACGAAACACAAGCGACGAAUCCCCCGUGACCACCGUUGACCGGAGCAAACCUAGAUUUUAUUAUCUCUCUUGAAGUGAGGAAUGAAACUACAGAUUGUUUUCACCAUUUGCUGCUUCUAGAUCUGAUGGAAGCUGCGUGGGGAAGAAAUACGUUGCGUUUGUUGCAGAUCCUCUAAAACCAUUUGCAGAAGAUUCGAUUCGUGUUAUUUCGGUAGAUAGCUGAUCGAGUAAGAUUCAAUCGUUUGUCUAAUCUUCUUUUCUAAGCAGAUUGUGUGAAUCAAUUUUUGUAUAUGAUUGGGACUGUUAUUUUCUGUGGUUCAAUGUGUUUGAUUUGUAUUUGGCUAAGAAUCUAAUUACUUUUGGUGGUUGAUUAUGUAGCAAAAACUAGUUUUAUCUUGAGACAUCUUACUAGGUAGAUGGUAAGAUUGAGAAGAAGCGUGAACAUCAAAGAGUGCAAAGCCUCGAGAAGUUUAAAUAUAAGAGUUUUAUUAGUUUA